RNAcentral lists this ribosomal RNA (253 nucleotides) under uncultured bacterium. RNAcentral describes it as "partial 16S ribosomal RNA". It matches the Rfam family "Bacterial small subunit ribosomal RNA", at positions 524 to 776 of the family's 1533-position model. The record is from RNAcentral.
CACGGGGGGAGCAAGCGUUGUUCGGAAUCAUUGGGCGUAAAGAGCGUGUAGGCGGCCCGGUAAGUCCGCUGUGAAAGUCGGGGGCUCAACCCUCGAAUGCCGGUGGAUACUGUCGGGCUAGAGUGCGGAAGAGGCGAGUGGAAUUCCUGGUGUAGCGGUGAAAUGCGCAGAUAUCAGGAGGAACACCAAUUGCGAAGGCAGCUCGCUGGGACGUAACUGACGCUGAGACGCGAAAGCGUGGGGAGCAAACAGG